UCCGUAGGUGAACCUGCGGAAGGAUCAUGGUCGA
Molecule: ribosomal RNA, 34 nt
Filed under: Vigna angularis (adzuki bean)
Lineage: Eukaryota; Viridiplantae; Streptophyta; Magnoliopsida; Fabales; Fabaceae
Description: partial 18S ribosomal RNA
Source: RNAcentral